UUCAUCUUCUUGGGAAAAAACUGUUACGCAAUUAAACACUUCUUUUUUAGCAAAACAGAAAGUGGGCAUAUGUGUGACAAACACAA
RNAcentral lists this small nucleolar RNA (86 nucleotides) under Pteropus vampyrus (large flying fox). RNAcentral describes it as "Small nucleolar RNA SNORA41 (ENSPVAG00000025329.1)". The record is from RNAcentral. Lineage: Eukaryota; Metazoa; Chordata; Mammalia; Chiroptera; Pteropodidae.